AUAGGUCUUGGGUGGGACUCUAAAGUAGACCCUGCCAGAUGGGUAAAUUGACCUCAACAGGAAGGUUCUGAGGGGAUGCUUUGAUUGACAGCAUACUUACAAUUCAAAAAUGGGAGAGGAAAAGUUCAAGAAAACAUGGUGUACUUUGAAAAGAACAGCUAUUAGUUCUUUCAGAAGACCAGUCAGUGAGGCGCUGACGGGGACUACCUCAAAGAGAAGAUGUAUGCAGCCUAAAUCUACAGCCUGAGGCUUCUCUGAAGGACAAGUGGGUUUGAAGCUGCUGCUGCCGCCGCUGCUGCCUGCCGC
Long non-coding RNA from Fukomys damarensis (Damara mole-rat), 306 nucleotides. RefSeq lists it as uncharacterized. The record is from RefSeq and is a predicted model, not a curated record. The transcript is spliced from 3 exons. Lineage: Eukaryota; Metazoa; Chordata; Mammalia; Rodentia; Bathyergidae.